CACCGCGGUUAGACGAGAGGCCCUAGUUGAUACUAUAACGGCGUAAAGGGUGGUUAGGAACAAUAAAAAAUAAAGCCAAAUGGCCCCUUGGCCGUCAUACGCUUCUAGGCGUCCGAAGCCCACAUCACACGAAAGUAGCUUUAAUAAAAAUCCGACCCCACGAAAGCUGAGAAA
This 174-nucleotide ribosomal RNA is filed under the name Barbodes binotatus (spotted barb). Its description in RNAcentral is "partial small subunit ribosomal RNA". Lineage: Eukaryota; Metazoa; Chordata; Actinopteri; Cypriniformes; Cyprinidae. The record is from RNAcentral.